RNAcentral lists this unclassified non-coding RNA (250 nucleotides) under plant metagenome. RNAcentral describes it as "partial contains small subunit ribosomal RNA, internal transcribed spacer 1, and 5.8S ribosomal RNA". The record is from RNAcentral.
GUUGGUGAACCAGCGGAGGGAUCAUUACCGAGUUAUAAACUCCAAACCCUUGUGAACAAUACCACUGUUGCUUCGGCAGGCGGGCCCAGGGCGGGCCUAUACAACGCCUGCCGAAAGACCAAACUCUUCUAUCCUGCCCUCUGAAGAAAAGACAAAUAGUUAAAACUUUCAACAACGGAUCUCUUGGUUCUGGCAUCGAUGAAGAACGCAGCAUCUGACUGACUUCAACUAAUGCCAUCUCGUAUGCCGU